GGGCGCUUAGCUCAGCUGGUUCAGAGCACCUGCCUUACAAGCAGGGGGUCGGCGGUUCGAAUCCGUCAGCGCCCA
This 75-nucleotide transfer RNA is filed under the name Gemmatimonadota bacterium. Its description in RNAcentral is "Gemmatimonadetes bacterium tRNA-Val". It matches the Rfam family "tRNA". From Rfam's summary of the family: Transfer RNA (tRNA) molecules are approximately 80 nucleotides in length. Their secondary structure includes four short double-helical elements and three loops (D, anti-codon, and T loops). Lineage: Bacteria; Pseudomonadati; Gemmatimonadota. RNAcentral also lists the same sequence under 2 other names. The record is from RNAcentral.